Ictalurus punctatus (channel catfish) is the source of this 696-nucleotide long non-coding RNA. Lineage: Eukaryota; Metazoa; Chordata; Actinopteri; Siluriformes; Ictaluridae. The record is from Ensembl.
GUUUGCUCGCCUCGGGAUGAACGGAUGUAAUGUGCGCAUCCAUGCAGCGCAGCACAGGAGAGGGAGGGUGAAGGGAGGCAGAGCAAACAUUCACACGCGCAGCGUUUAUACAGAAGCAUAAACCAAAAAACAAAACAAAAACAACAGCAACAAGAAAACCCCCACCAAAACUCAGUGACCGCACAGCUGGAGCCAGAAACAGAUCGGGGGAGAAAGCACCAAACCGCUGGCUGAACUUUCCCGGUGAUUACGCAUGUGGACUCUCACGGACUGCGGCGUGGACACAGGGACAAAAUAGAGGAAAUCAUACAGAAGCUGACUACAGACCCUUAUCCACCAACCCCACUGGGCUCCUCACUGAUGAAAAUACAUCAUCUGGAAAAUAUUUCCUACAAAUCAUGAAGGACAAAGGCUUCAGAUCUUUUCAGUGGAGUAUUGUCUGAAGAUAAAGUAAACGGAGGCAUUUGCUCUGGCCUCUAGCUCAGUAGUACCCAGAGACUACCUGCUUCCAGAGGCUUUUCUGCUUCUCUUUGGCUGUGGAGGAGAGAAAAUGAGCACCGCAUGAGAAAUCACUAUUGUGGAUUACUGAGGAUCAAGCCAGACCAAGAACCCCUGAUCAGUAAUCGGAACUGUUAGGAGGAAUUACAUCUGAAACUUGACCGAAUUACAGAACGUAGCCUUUCUAUCCUGUUGGAG